RNAcentral lists this ribosomal RNA (1634 nucleotides) under Apis cerana cerana. Its description in RNAcentral is "bacterial SSU rRNA". The stretch from base 1 to 1195 matches the Rfam family "Eukaryotic small subunit ribosomal RNA". Lineage: Eukaryota; Metazoa; Arthropoda; Insecta; Hymenoptera; Apidae. The record is from RNAcentral.
AUCAGAAUUUCUUUCAGAAUUUCUCUCAAAGAUGGGAGAAAUGCUUUUAUUAAAUCAAAACCAAUUGGUGGCGAAUGGCUCGUCCAUUCGUCCAUCGUUUGUUUUGGUGACUCUGAAUAAUUUUAUCCUGAUCGCAUAGUUAUCUAGCACCGGUGACGCAUCUUUCAAAUAUCUGCCUUAUUAACUGUCGAUAGUAGAUUCUGGGCCUACCAUGGUUGUAAUGGGUAACGGAGAAUCAGGGUUCGAUUCCGAAGAGGGAACCUGAAAAACAGCUAUUAUAUUCAAGAAAGGCAGUAGGCGCGCAAAUUAUCCACUUACGGCACAGUGAAGUAGUAACGAAAAAUAACGAUACGGGAUUCAUCCGAGGCUCCGUAAUGGGAAUUUAAAUCCUUUCCAUUUUAAAUCCUUUAACGGACCAAUUAGAGGGCAAAUCUGGUGCCAGCAGCCGCGGUAAUUCCAGCUCCAAUAGCAUAUAUUAAAGUUGGUUAUGGUUAAAAACAUAGUUAAAUCUGUAUGUCACAGUGUCGGUUCAUAGUAUCGGUGGACUUACCUCCUUGCGGGCGGUCCAACUAAUAUCCCAUCGCGGUGCUCUUCACUUGAGUGUCGAGGUAGGCAAAUACGUUUACUUUGAAAAACUUAGUGCUUAAAGCAGGUUAUCUCUCUGUUUGCAUAAAUAAUGGAAUGGGACUUCAGUUCUAUUUUGUUUCGAAACUUCGAGGUAAUGAUUAAUAGGGAUAGAUAGAGGCAUUCAUAUUGCGAUGCUAGAGGUGAAAUUCUCGUCGCAAGACGCAUGGAAGCGAAAGCAUUUGCCAAAAAUGUUUACAUUAAUCGAGAACGAAAGUUAGAGUUUCGAAGGCGAUCAGAUACUGUCUUAGUUCUAACCAUAAAUGAUGCCAGUCAGCGAUCCGCUGAAGUUCCUCCGAUGACUCGGCGGGCAGCUUCCGGGAAACCAAAACUUUUGGGAAGUAUGGUUGCAAAGCUGAAACUUAAAGGAAUUGACGGAAGGCCACCACCAGAAGUGGAGCCUGCGGCUUAAUUUGACUCAACACGGAAAAUUAGAAUUAAUACACACAGAAUUAAAUUACACAUACACACACACACACACACACACACACACACACACACACACACACACAUAUAAUAUAUUCUUUUAUAUAUAUAUAUAUAUAUAUAUACACAUAAAAUAAGAUCAAUCUUGCACGCACGCACGCACGCACGCACAUAUAUAUAAUUAUUGAUAGCAAUUACAAAUUUAAUGUACACUAAUUAAUUAUAUGAAAUAAAAAUUUUUUUUAUAUUUGCAUGAUAUAUAAUGACAAAUAUUUUAUAUAUUUUAUAGUUCAGUAUAAAUUAUCAUUUCAUUUUAUUAUUAUCGAGUAGAUAAUAGUUUUCUCUAUCUAUAAGUAUUUCUAAUUUAGUAUUACUGUCCAAGAAUUUUAAGAAGGAAAAGAAAUAAAAAAGGUAAACAAUAACAAAAUAAAAACUCAUUGCAUUCCAUAUUAUGUUAUAAAUUGUUUUCUUUAUGAAUUUUAAUCGCGUCACUCAAAAUUCCAACUCGGAUAAUUCCAUUUGCAAUCAUUUUGAUAUAAAAUAAAUCCUAUCUUAUUUACCUCUUUCAAUCUGUAUGAUCUGUU